Molecule: unclassified non-coding RNA, 357 nt
Filed under: soil metagenome
Description: partial contains 5.8S ribosomal RNA, internal transcribed spacer 2, and large subunit ribosomal RNA
Rfam family: 5.8S ribosomal RNA (bases 1-120)
Source: RNAcentral
GAUGAAGAACGCAGCGAAAUGCGAUAAGUAAUGUGAAUUGCAGAAUUCAGUGAAUCAUCGAAUCUUUGAAUGCACAUUGCGCCCGCUGGUAUUCCGGCGGGCAUGCCUGUUCGAGCGUCAUUUCAACCCUCAAGCUCUCCGGAGUUUGGUGUUGGGGCGCCUGGGGCUUUUCGACCUCAGGGCCCUCAAGUCCAUCGGCGGGACCGCCAGGACACUGAGCGCAGUAGUAUUAUUUCGCUCGGUAGGAUCUUCCACGGCGGGUCGAUCUGGCCGCUAAACCCCCCAAUUCUCACCAAAGGUUGACCUCGGAUCAGGUAGGAAUACCCGCUGAACUUAAGCAUAUCAAUAAGCGGAGGA